UACGGAGGAUGCGAGCGUUAUCCGGAUUUAUUGGGUUUAAAGGGUGCGCAGGCGGAUUUUUAAGUCAGCGGUCAAAUCGUGGGGCUCAACCCCAUCCAGCCGUUGAAACUGCAUCCCUUGAGUGCGCGAGAAGUAUGCGGAAUGCGUGGUGUAGCGGUGAAAUGCAUAGAUAUCACGCAGAACUCCGAUUGCGAAGGCAGCAUACCGGCGCGCAACUGACGCUCAUGCACGAAAGCGUGGGUAUCGAACAGG
Molecule: ribosomal RNA, 252 nt
Filed under: uncultured Bacteroidales bacterium
Lineage: Bacteria; Pseudomonadati; Bacteroidota; Bacteroidia; Bacteroidales
Description: partial 16S ribosomal RNA
Rfam family: Bacterial small subunit ribosomal RNA
Source: RNAcentral